GUGUCAGCCGCCGCGGUAAUACGUAGGGAGCGAGCGUUGUCCGGAUUUAUUGGGCGUAAAGAGCUCGUAGGCGGCUUGGUAAGUCGGAUGUGAAAGCUCCAGGCUCAACCUGGAGUCGCCAUCCGAUACUGCCAUAGCUAGAGUCCGGUAGGGGCCCACGGAACUCCUGGUGUAGCGGUGAAAUGCGCAGAUAUCAGGAAGAACACCGGUGGCGAAGGCGGUGGGCUGGGCCGGUACUGACGCUGAGGAGCGAAAGCGUGGGGAGCGAACAGGAUUAGAAACCCCAGUAGUCC
RNAcentral lists this ribosomal RNA (293 nucleotides) under uncultured Acidimicrobiia bacterium. RNAcentral describes it as "partial 16S ribosomal RNA". It matches the Rfam family "Bacterial small subunit ribosomal RNA", at positions 505 to 796 of the family's 1533-position model. RNAcentral also lists the same sequence under 1 other name. The record is from RNAcentral. Lineage: Bacteria; Bacillati; Actinomycetota; Acidimicrobiia.